This 253-nucleotide ribosomal RNA is filed under the name uncultured bacterium. RNAcentral describes it as "partial 16S ribosomal RNA". It matches the Rfam family "Bacterial small subunit ribosomal RNA", at positions 524 to 776 of the family's 1533-position model. The record is from RNAcentral.
UACGAAGGGGGCUAGCGUUGUUCGGAAUUACUGGGCGUAAAGGGCGCGUAGGCGGUGUGUCAAGUCAGGCGUGAAAGCCCCGGGCUCAACCUGGGAACCGCGCUUGAGACUGGCACGCUCGAGUUCGGGAGAGGAUGGUGGAAUUCCCAGUGUAGAGGUGAAAUUCGUAGAUAUUGGGAAGAACACCGAUGGCGAAGGCGGCCAUCUGGACCGACACUGACGCUGAGGCGCGAAAGCGUGGGGAGCAAACAGG